This 17-nucleotide microRNA is filed under the name Sus scrofa (pig). RNAcentral's name for it is "ssc-miR-339-3p". Lineage: Eukaryota; Metazoa; Chordata; Mammalia; Artiodactyla; Suidae. The record is from RNAcentral.
GCUCUGGCCUCGAGGAG